This 1417-nucleotide ribosomal RNA is filed under the name Klebsiella pneumoniae. RNAcentral's name for it is "bacterial LSU rRNA". It matches the Rfam family "Bacterial large subunit ribosomal RNA", at positions 1531 to 2925 of the family's 2925-position model. The record is from RNAcentral. Lineage: Bacteria; Pseudomonadati; Pseudomonadota; Gammaproteobacteria; Enterobacterales; Enterobacteriaceae.
UCCAGGCAAAUCCGGAUAAUCAAGGCUGAGGUGUGAUGACGAGGCACUACGGUGCUGAAGUAACAAAUGCCCUGCUUCCAGGAAAAGCCUCUAAGCAUCAGGUAACAUCAAAUCGUACCCCAAACCGACACAGGUGGUCAGGUAGAGAAUACCAAGGCGCUUGAGAGAACUCGGGUGAAGGAACUAGGCAAAAUGGUGCCGUAACUUCGGGAGAAGGCACGCUGGUGUGUAGGUGAAGCCCCUGCGGGUGGAGCUGAGACCAGUCGAAGAUACCAGCUGGCUGCAACUGUUUAUUAAAAACACAGCACUGUGCAAACACGAAAGUGGACGUAUACGGUGUGACGCCUGCCCGGUGCCGGAAGGUUAAUUGAUGGGGUUAUCCGUAAGGAGAAGCUCUUGAUCGAAGCCCCGGUAAACGGCGGCCGUAACUAUAACGGUCCUAAGGUAGCGAAAUUCCUUGUCGGGUAAGUUCCGACCUGCACGAAUGGCGUAAUGAUGGCCAGGCUGUCUCCACCCGAGACUCAGUGAAAUUGAACUCGCUGUGAAGAUGCAGUGUACCCGCGGCAAGACGGAAAGACCCCGUGAACCUUUACUAUAGCUUGACACUGAACAUUGAGCCUUGAUGUGUAGGAUAGGUGGGAGGCUUUGAAGCGUGGACGCCAGUCUGCGUGGAGCCAACCUUGAAAUACCACCCUUUAAUGUUUGAUGUUCUAACGUUGGCCCCUGACCGGGGUUGCGGACAGUGUCUGGUGGGUAGUUUGACUGGGGCGGUCUCCUCCCAAAGCGUAACGGAGGAGCACGAAGGUUAGCUAAUCCUGGUCGGACAUCAGGAGGUUAGUGCAAUGGCAUAAGCUAGCUUGACUGCGAGCGUGACGGCGCGAGCAGGUGCGAAAGCAGGUCAUAGUGAUCCGGUGGUUCUGAAUGGAAGGGCCAUCGCUCAACGGAUAAAAGGUACUCCGGGGAUAACAGGCUGAUACCGCCCAAGAGUUCAUAUCGACGGCGGUGUUUGGCACCUCGAUGUCGGCUCAUCACAUCCUGGGGCUGAAGUAGGUCCCAAGGGUAUGGCUGUUCGCCAUUUAAAGUGGUACGCGAGCUGGGUUUAGAACGUCGUGAGACAGUUCGGUCCCUAUCUGCCGUGGGCGCUGGAGAAUUGAGGGGGGCUGCUCCUAGUACGAGAGGACCGGAGUGGACGCAUCACUGGUGUUCGGGUUGUCAUGCCAAUGGCACUGCCCGGUAGCUAAAUGCGGAAGAGAUAAGUGCUGAAAGCAUCUAAGCACGAAACUUGCCCCGAGAUGAGUUCUCCCUGAGACUUUAAGUCUCCUGAAGGAACGUUGAAGACGACGACGUUGAUAGGCCGGGUGUGUAAGCGCAGCGAUGCGUUGAGCUAACCGGUACUAAUGAACCGUGAGGCUUAACC